RNAcentral lists this ribosomal RNA (1446 nucleotides) under uncultured organism. RNAcentral describes it as "SSU rRNA". It matches the Rfam family "Bacterial small subunit ribosomal RNA". The record is from RNAcentral.
CUACAGGCUUAACACAUGCAAGUCGAGGGGCAGCAUGGUCUUAGCUUGCUAAGGCCGAUGGCGACCGGCGCACGGGUGAGUAACACGUAUCCAACCUGCCGUCUACUCUUGGACAGCCUUCUGAAAGGAAGAUUAAUACAAGAUGGCAUCAUGAGUCCGCAUGUUCACAUGAUUAAAGGUAUUCCGGUAGACGAUGGGGAUGCGUUCCAUUAGAUAGUAGGCGGGGUAACGGCCCACCUAGUCUUCGAUGGAUAGGGGUUCUGAGAGGAAGGUCCCCCACAUUGGAACUGAGACACGGUCCAAACUCCUACGGGAGGCAGCAGUGAGGAAUAUUGGUCAAUGGGCGCAGGCCUGAACCAGCCAAGUAGCGUGAAGGAUGACUGCCCUAUGGGUUGUAAACUUCUUUUAUAAAGGAAUAAAGUCGGGUAUGGAUACCCGUUUGCAUGUACUUUAUGAAUAAGGAUCGGCUAACUCCGUGCCAGCAGCCGCGGUAAUACGGAGGAUCCGAGCGUUAUCCGGAUUUAUUGGGUUUAAAGGGAGCGUAGAUGGAUGUUUAAGUCAGUUGUGAAAGUUUGCGGCUCAACCGUAAAAUUGCAGUUGAUACUGGAUAUCUUGAGUGCAGUUGAGGCAGGCGGAAUUCGUGGUGUAGCGGUGAAAUGCUUAGAUAUCACGAAGAACUCCGAUUGCGAAGGCAGCCUGCUAAGCUGCAACUGACAUUGAGGCUCGAAAGUGUGGGUAUCAAACAGGAUUAGAUACCCUGGUAGUCCACACGGUAAACGAUGAAUACUCGCUGUUUGCGAUAUACGGCAAGCGGCCAAGCGAAAGCGUUAAGUAUUCCACCUGGGGAGUACGCCGGCAACGGUGAAACUCAAAGGAAUUGACGGGGGCCCGCACAAGCGGAGGAACAUGUGGUUUAAUUCGAUGAUACGCGAGGAACCUUACCCGGGCUUAAAUUGCAGAUGAAUUACGGUGAAAGCCGUAAGCCGCAAGGCAUCUGUGAAGGUGCUGCAUGGUUGUCGUCAGCUCGUGCCGUGAGGUGUCGGCUUAAGUGCCAUAACGAGCGCAACCCUUGUUGUCAGUUACUAACAGGUUCCGCUGAGGACUCUGACAAGACUGCCAUCGUAAGAUGUGAGGAAGGUGGGGAUGACGUCAAAUCAGCACGGCCCUUACGUCCGGGGCUACACACGUGUUACAAUGGGGGGUACAGAGGGCCGCUACCACGCGAGUGGAUGCCAAUCCCAAAAACCUCUCUCAGUUCGGACUGGAGUCUGCAACCCGACUCCACGAAGCUGGAUUCGCUAGUAAUCGCGCAUCAGCCACGGCGCGGUGAAUACGUUCCCGGGCCUUGUACACACCGCCCGUCAAGCCAUGGGAGCCGGGGGUACCUGAAGUGCGUAACCGCGAGGAGCGCCCUAGGGUAAAACUGGUGACUGGGGCUAAGUCGUA